This 575-nucleotide ribosomal RNA is filed under the name bacterium amphSDSwin07-3. Its description in RNAcentral is "bacterial SSU rRNA". It matches the Rfam family "Bacterial small subunit ribosomal RNA", at positions 929 to 1490 of the family's 1533-position model. The record is from RNAcentral.
GGGGUGGAGCAUGUGGCUUUCACUUCGAUGCGACGCGCAGGACCUUACCUACUCUUGACAUCCAGAGGAGCCAGCGGAGACGCAGGUGCGCUUCGGGAGCUCUGAGACAGGUGCUGCAUGGCUGUCGUCAGCUCGUGUUGUGAAAUGUUGGGUUCAGUCCCGCGACGAGCGCAACCCUUAUCCUUGUUUGCCAGCGAGUAAUGUCGGGAACUCCAGGGAGACUGCCGGUGAUAAACCGGAGGAAGGUGGGGACGACGUCAAGUCAUCAUGGCCCUUACGAGUAGGGCUACACACGUGCUACAAUGGCGCAUACAGAGGGCAGCGAGCUAGCGAUAGUGAGCGAAUCCCAACAAAGUGCGUCGUAGUCCGGAUUGGAGUCUGCAACUCGACUCCAUGAAGUCGGCAUCGCUAGUAAUCGUGAAUCAGUCAUGUCACGGUGUAUACGUUCCCGGGCCUAUGUACACACCGCCCGUCACACCAUGGGAGUGGGCUGCAAAAGAAGUGGGUAGUUUCAGACUUCUCGGGGAGGACGCAUCUCCCCACAUCUUGUGGUUCAGUGAACAUGGUGUUGUGUU